UAAUACGUAUGGGGCAAGCGUUGUUCGGAUUCACUGGGCGUAAAGGGCGUGUAGGUGGUAAGGCAAGUCGGAUGUGAAAUUUCUGGGCUCAACCCGGAAACUGCAUUCGAAACUGCUUUGCUAGAGUACCGGAGAGGGAGACGGAAUUCCUGGUGUAGGGGUGAAAUCUGUAGGUAUCAGGAAGAACACCGGUGGCGAAGGCGGUCUCCUGGCCGGAUACUGACACUGAGGCGCGAAAGCUAGGGGAGCGAACAGGAUUAGAUACCCUGGUAGUCCUAGCUGUAAACGUUGUGCACUAGGCGUAAGUGGGUUUUAUUCCACCUGUGCCGCAGCUAACGCAUUAAGUGCACCGCCUGGGGAGUAUGCUCGCAAGGGUG
Molecule: ribosomal RNA, 377 nt
Filed under: uncultured bacterium
Lineage: Bacteria
Description: bacterial SSU rRNA
Rfam family: Bacterial small subunit ribosomal RNA
Source: RNAcentral